UUGUGUAUUUUUGGCAAAAGCAUGGCCGCCGUGUUGCUGUGCCAGGCCACUGUUAUCAUCGCCCAUUUCGCAGUCAUUUCUCAUUGGUGGAUGCAGGAACGUGUCUCACUCGUACGACUCGUACACCACGCCAAUAAUUGUCACGACACGAUUAAUUUUGUUGUUGUUUUGUUUUCUUUAAUACUUCCACACAAAAAUGGCGUCGACAGGAAAUGUGCCGAAAACGAGGGGGGAGGACAAACAGAAAUUCCAACUGUUUUGUUCAGUUUUUAUCUCGUUUGGCCGAGAACGUCUAAUAAAAAGUUCUCUUUUUUUUUGUCUGCUUUUUUUUUGUUUUCCCCCCCCCAAUUUUUUUGUCUGUUUAGUAGGGCCUACAUUUCCGGUGGUCGCCAUUUUUCUGCAAACUUCAGAGCACACAGACGAAUGAAAACAAUCCACGCACAGUUGAAUUAUUAUUCAGAUGUAAACGGUCUUGACCUAGAUCAAUGUCGGUGAACGUGUAAAAGUUCAUUGGACUACUUUUACUUCUCCUCCACGUGUUGAUGUGGUUUACAUUCCAUCGUAUUUUUCUUUCUUUUCUCAACUUAUUCUAUUUUUGGGAAAGGGGAAACAAAACAAAACAAAAAAUGUAUUUUUCAAAGAGGUGUUUUUCUCAGUUGUGGAAAAGAAAAGAAAAAAAAGCACGACAACAUGCAACCGUUCGUGUUUCGCUAUUUGUUAUUGUUGUUUAGUAUCUUACGUGCCGGACGCCAUCUGCUGAACGUUCAUGUUGGUCUAAUUUGCAUAACGAAUGGCGCCAGACACGAUCCAACCAACUUAUUUUAUUGUUCAUUUAACAUAAUCCUAUCGACGUAAUACACCCCACGUAUUCAACCCUUUCGAACAGACAAAAGUUUUUGCAGAAACCCAAGUCUCUUUUGUGUGUGUGUGUGUGUGUCUCAGUUUGUAUCCAAAAAUAAAGUUAAGGAAGGAGAGCGAAAACGGCAGCAGCAAACUCUGCGUGAAUUGAAUGUCAAAUGUUGGCAUGACAUCACACCGGCAGCCGAACAAAAGACUCUCUAUCAGUUCAAAGAGUUUGAUUACCAUCAUCUAUUGUCUUUAUUUUGAAAGAACAACACGAGAUUAGACAAAAACAUUCUUUUCAAAACAGCCGACCAUCGCUGCGAGACCUUUUACCAGACGGACACUGAAUAAUUUUAAACGAGUUUUUCUAGUCGAAUAAUGUUGUUUGGAGAAAUGUCCCAAAAGCUGGAGCCAUACCAACGCCAUUUUAACGCUUUACAAUGCAAAAUCUUGACAAAAGAAACAGUGAACUUUAUGGACAAUUGGCCAACCGACAUAGCUCAUUGAAUGGAUUUGGACGAAAUGAAUUUGCAUAACGAGCGAGACGCACGUAGACGAAGAAAAUAAUCAAAUCAUUUUGGGAAAACGGUUUUACUUCUCCGUCGCUGUUCCACGAGGGGAGAGGUAGGGUAGAACAGAGACUCGAUCCCCCUCGGGCAAGAGCCCUGAUGAUGAACAAGACGAAAAAAGGAAAAGAAAAAAAAAACGCCACGUGGAAAGGACCGCCCCUUUUUCGGGUCUUCCCAACCUCUACUUGGAUAUGUGCGUCGUAGUAUUUCUCGCCCAGUUCAUUUAUAGCCGUGAAACGGGGUGGGGGGAGAUACGAGCGCCACGUGGAGGCGAUCGUUGCAACUAUCGAUUUUUUUUUUGUUUCUUUUUCUUUUCUUUUAUUUAUAUAUAUAUUUUCCAUGUGUCCCAUUCUUUGUUGGGGUGUCGGUUAUAUUUUACGCCUUUUUCUUAUCCUCCUCGCAAGUUCGGCACGUGGAGUCCUCACAAUUCCCGAAUGACGUCACCAAUUUCUUUUUACAAUCAACCUGUGGAUAAAGACAAUUGCUGUUGGAUGAGGAACUAUUGUGUUUUAAAAACCUGGGAAUGCGGAAACCUUCAUAUUAAAAACCAUAUGGAAAAAGAAUUUUGUUGUAACUCUUACUCCCCGACCAAAAAGUUGUUAUACAAGGGGGACGGAUGCUGGUUUCAAUUGUAUUGAGCAUGGCCGAAAAAAAGGGGGAAGCCGGUGUCAUGGCUGCCAGCCCCUGUCUAUAACGGACGAUUCCCUUCCCUCUUUCUCUCUAUUCUAUUCUAGGAAAUAAUAAAUGUGGGCCUAUAGUAGGAAACUCUGAAUAGGAUCGAUAUCAAACUUAAAAAAAACCGGUGUCUGUGUUUUUUCUAUUUUCAUUCGACGAAUGCAUUUGGAUGACGAGUCUCUUUUUAAGGACAAAAAAUAAAAUAAAUGGAAAAUUCUAGUUUUUAUCGGAUACCGAACCCUUGGGCACGUGUAGACGGAUACACACACUGAUAUCAGCCGGCCGAUUUGGAAGGGCAAUGCUCAAACCUUAAUGUAUACUCGAGUCGGGGGGGAAAGAGAAAAAAGGCGAACGAUAAAAUGUGUAUGUUUAAGGAAAAAAAAAAAAAAAAAGAUUCAUUUGUUUGUAUUUAAUUUCUUCUUUAAUUAUCGCUAGGGGGAGACUGUAGAAUGUCGCGUAUACAAACGAUGAGGGUUGGUAUAGUCAUUCCUGGCCAUGGUUUUCCCUCGUCCAAGUACAUUUAUCAAAGUUUCAUGAAUUUCUAAUGAAUCGGUUGGAUGCCUCACGCUUUAUUCCAAACUGUAUGUGUUGCGCGUACAAAUGCGUAGAACUUUUAACUAUUUGACUUGCCCCAGGAGAAACUUUUUUGUUUGUAGAGGGCCGGUUCUCCGUGUUUGAUACAAGCGUCUGGGAAAGUUUACAAGAAAACUCCUUCGAGAACACACCCCACACUGACUGGCUAUUACCGUCUGGCAAGGGCAGACUCUCUCUCCUCCUCCCUUUGUCGUAAUAAAGAAGAAAAGUUUGGCAUUUACCCCAGAAGAGAAGGGGAGCCUCAGGGAUUUUUCCUUUUUUCUUUUUUUUUUCUUAAGAUGACAUGUGCCUUUAUCAGUGUAAACUAUUGGUUACUGGACGCUUUCUUUUAUUAUCUUUUUCGUUGCAUCUUUCUUCCUUUCCAUUUCUUUCAUUGAGUUUGCUGACGCGGCCGUUAGAUGGCGAUUUUUAAGCCCUAGAUGGAAAAAUGAAGUAUUUGGCAAAAAUCCAACGCUCCAGUAGCCGUUGUUGUGAUUUAUAAUUGCCAGCAAAAAAAAAAAAAAAAAAGCUUAUUUUUUUUCAGUCUACAAGAUUUCGACCGCUGGCGAGUCGUUCAAUCGGGACAGGGAUCAACAUUUCGGCAUUUGUUUCGUUUAAAAUAGUGUUUUUUAAAUUUUUCUCUGUCCAGAUGGCCACAAAAACACUGUGAAAGUCAAGAGGAUCUAUAAAAAUGGACAAAGCAUAUAAAAGAUGGAAUAAUUUGUUAAAGAAAUUCUUUCCUUUCUUAUUAUUGAAAUUUUUCGAGACAGCUGCCAGUGCAGGAGAGCCGUUGGCCGUCCCAAUGGUAGAUCGGUGUCAGAUUACAAAGGCCGGCAUACCAUCCCUUCCGAAGAAUGAAGACCUGUGUACAGCGGACGUUUCCGGCGUUAUCUUCUCAACUACAUUCUCAGAUUAAAGGCCUCAGUGUAGAAACAAUUGCUUACCUUGGCAUUUGUGUGUGUUAAUGAUUGGAUCUUAAAUACUGCAAUAAAUUGGCUAAAAGUCUGCAA
This is a long non-coding RNA of Daphnia magna, 3670 nucleotides long. RefSeq lists it as uncharacterized. The record is from RefSeq and is a predicted model, not a curated record. NCBI's taxonomy places the organism in Eukaryota, Metazoa, Arthropoda, Branchiopoda, Diplostraca, Daphniidae. The transcript has 2 exons.